Molecule: ribosomal RNA, 2388 nt
Filed under: Triticum aestivum (bread wheat)
Lineage: Eukaryota; Viridiplantae; Streptophyta; Magnoliopsida; Poales; Poaceae
Description: partial small subunit ribosomal RNA
Source: RNAcentral
AUGGGUUUCCUCCACCCGUUCGCCUCCCACGUGGUGCUCUUCUUCCUCUUCCUCUCCUCGUUGGCGUUUCUUCAUGGCGCCGCCGCGGACCAGGAGGAGGCUCUGCAGACCUACAUUGUGCAGCUGCACCCGCGCGGAUCUACCGGCGGCGGCGAGUCAGCCUCCUCCGACCACGACUGGCACCUCGCCUUCCUCGCCAAAUCCGUGCCUUCUUCCGAGGAGCAAGAUGACAAGCGUCACAUGUCGUCGUCGCGGCUGCUCUACUCUUACCACACCGUGUUCGACGGCUUCGCGGCGCGGCUCACGGCCGGCGAGGCGGCGGCGCUGCGGGCGCUGCAGGGCGUCUCGUCGGUGCGGGAGGACCGCCGGGUGGAGCUCCACACCACGUACUCGUACCGGUUCCUCGGCCUAAACGUGUGCCCGACCGGGGCGUGGGCGCGCGCGCGGUAUGGCCGCGGCGUGGUGGUCGGGGUGCUCGACACGGGCGUGUGGCCGGAGAGCCCGAGCUUCGACGACCGCGGGAUGCCGCCGGUGCCGGACCGGUGGCGGGGCGUGUGCGAGACCGGGGAGCGGUUCAACGCGACCAACUGCAACCGGAAGCUCGUCGGCGCGCGGUUCUACUCCAACGGCCACCGCGCCAACUACCCGACGGACCCGUCGGACGCCGCCGCGCGGACGCGGGAGUACGCUUCGCCACGGGACGCGCACGGGCACGGGACCCACACGGCGUCGACAGCCGCGGGGUCUGCCGUGGCCGGAGCCAGUGUCCUCGGCGCCGGGGCCGGGGAGGCGCGCGGCGUGGCUCCCGGCGCGCACGUCGCCGCGUACAAGGUCUGCUGGUUCAACGGAUGCUUCAGCUCCGAUAUCCUCGCCGGGAUGGACGACGCGGUGCGCGACGGCGUCGACGUGCUGUCGCUCUCCCUGGGCGGCUUCCCCAUCCCGCUCUUCGAGGACAGCAUCGCCAUCGGCAGCUUCCGUGCCACGGUGCGCGGCGUCUCCGUCGUCAGCGCCGCCGGCAACAACGGGCCGGAGCCGAGCUCCGUGGCCAACGAAGCGCCCUGGAUGCUCACCGUCGGCGCUGCCACACUGGAUCGCCGCUUCCCGGCCUACGUCCGGCUCGGCAACGGCCGGGUCCUGUACGGUGAGUCCAUGUACCCGGGAAAAGUUGGUUUGAAAAAUGGCGGGAAAGCGCUCGAGCUGUUCUACGCCGCCGGUGGGUCCCGGGAAGUGAUGUACUGCAUGAAGGGCUCCCUCUCCGCGGCCGACGUCGCCGGGAAGAUGGUGGUAUGUGACCGCGGCAUCACCGGCCGGGCAGACAAAGGCCAAGCGGUGAAAGAAGCGGGCGGCGCGGCCAUGGUGCUCGCGAACUCCGAGAUCAACCGGCAGGAGGACUCCGUCGAUGUGCACGUCCUCCCCGCGACACUCAUCGGCUACCAGGAAGCCGUCGAGCUCAAGAAGUACAUCAGCUCGACGCCGCGGCCGGUGGCAAGGAUCGCGUUCGGCGGCACGCGGAUCGGGCGAGCGCGCGCACCGGCGGUGGCGCUGUUCUCGGCGCGAGGGCCGAGCGUGACGAGCCCAUCGGUGCUGAAGCCCGACGUGAUCGCGCCCGGGGUGAACAUCAUCGCUGCGUGGCCGGGCAGCGUGGGUCCGUCGGGGCUGGACGGCGACGCGCGGCGGACCAACUUCACGGUGCUGUCGGGGACGUCGAUGGCGUGCCCGCACGUGAGCGGCAUCGCGGCGCUGGUCAGGUCGGCGCAUCCUUCAUGGAGCCCGGCGAUGGUGCGUUCGGCGAUCAUGACGACGGCCGACGUGACGGACCGGCAUGGCAAGCCGAUCACCGACGGCGACGGCGGCGACCGCGCCGACGUGUUCGGCAUGGGCGCGGGGCACGUGAACCCGGCCCUCGCCGUCGACCCAGGCCUCGUCUACGACAUCGAGCCGGCCGACUACGUGACGCACCUGUGCACGCUGGGGUACACGCAGAGGGAGGUGUUCAAGAUCACGCACAGCGCCGUCGACUGCAGCGAGCUGCUGCACGAGAACCCUGGGUUCACGCUCAACUACCCGUCGAUGGCGGUGGCGUUCAAGGACGGCGGCGGCGAGACCUCGGCGGUGCUCCGGAGGACGGUCACCAACGUGGGCGCGCCCAACUCGACGUACACGGCGCGGGUGGGCGCGCCGCCGGGGGUCAAGGUCACGGUCGCGCCCACGACGCUGGCGUUCGCGGAGUUCGGCGAGAAGAAGAGCUUCCAGGUGUGGGUGGACGCGUCAGGCGCGGCGGGGAGGGACAGCGGGGAGGGGUACCUGGUGUGGAAGCAGCGGGGCGCGGGGCUGGGCAGGCGGCGCACGGUGAGGAGCCCCAUUGCCGUGACCUGGCCCGUGGAGUAG